Zea mays is the source of this 65-nucleotide non-coding RNA. The record is from RefSeq and is marked provisional. NCBI's taxonomy places the organism in Eukaryota, Viridiplantae, Streptophyta, Magnoliopsida, Poales, Poaceae.
GUAGCCAAGGAUGACUUGCCGGCAUUAUAUUUCUUGGCCCGCCGGCAAGUCAUCUGGGGCUACGC